This 1056-nucleotide long non-coding RNA is filed under the name Mytilus galloprovincialis (Mediterranean mussel). Lineage: Eukaryota; Metazoa; Mollusca; Bivalvia; Mytilida; Mytilidae. The record is from RNAcentral.
UGCGCCCGUCCUAACCUAAAAUCUUGGAUCUGCCCCUCAUAUGGUUUAGGGGUGGGUAGCUCGACCGUUUCCAAGUUAUCAAACGAGGGGGUAGAGUGGCUCAAAGAAUGCCACCUAUAUGAUUUACUUACAUUAAGGUAUAUAUGUAGGACUCAAAUCUAUGGUGGGUUCCAAAUCUGUGGCAGAUUCCUAAUCUAUGGCAAAUGUGACGUCAUGCCAUCCCAAAUCUAUGGCAGAUUUUUUAUAAUCCUAAUCUAUGGCAAGUUUUGUAAUUUCCUAAUCUAUGGCGGAUUUAUGUUCACGGUUUCCAAAUCUAUUGCAAAUGAUGAGCAAAUGGAAAAUAAUGCAGUACCUAUACGACCAAUGAUUUGUCUUAAAUAAGUGGACAUGUACGACAACGGUAGCAUGUCUUUAAACAUUUGUGAAAUAAACAUUCAAUAAUGGUCAACCAAAUCGUGAUGGUAAAAAUAAAACGUAAAUGAUAAAUUCAUAUACCUUAAUACAGACUUCAAGAUUGAAAUGAUGUGCCCCGUAAAAAUAAACAUUUUCUAAUCUUUGCAUGGUACCUGUUUAACCCAUUCAUUAAACCAACUAGUCUAGUAAGUCCCUUAAGAAGGUUUUUUUUUUAUAUAAAACAGAAAUGAUCAGUUUCAAUUUUCAAGUAAUAUUUAUUUCUUCGUUUAUGCAUCUUUUUUUAUUAUUGAAUGACGAUUUAAAUCAAAUUGAUAUCAGUUUUUUUUUUUUUAUCUUUCACUUUAUAAACUUUGCCAGUCGUAGACAGUAAAAUGUUUUCUAUAACUCCUUUCUCUAAAAACUUGAUGAAAAAAUCGGUGCCGUUGUUCAUCGCGGGCUUUGGCCGGUACAGCACAUUUCGUCCGCCUUCCGAAUACUAGUAAUAGGUCACAUCUUCCUUGAGAUUAUCUGCAAAUUGUUGUCGAGGGAAAUGCCUAUAUCUGGAAUGGUGUUCAAAUUUAUGGGUUCCGCAAGUUUGCGGGGCGACGAUGUAAAUGGCGUUAUUCAAUUGUGACGCAAUUCAAAGAUCUGCCAUAGAUUUGA